GACAGAGGGUGCAAGCGUUGUUCGGAAUUAUUGGGCGUAAAGGGCGCGUAGGCGGCCGCGUAAGUCGAAUGUGAAAGCCCAGGGCUCAACCUUGGAAGUGCAUUCGAAACUGCGUAGCUUGAGUCUCGGAGAGGGUAGCGGAAUUCCCAGUGUAGAGGUGAAAUUCGUAGAUAUUGGGAGGAACACCAGUGGCGAAGGCGACUGCCUGGACGGUGACUGACGCUGAGGCGCGAGAGCGUGGGUAGCAAACAGG
Molecule: unclassified non-coding RNA, 253 nt
Filed under: uncultured Myxococcales bacterium
Lineage: Bacteria; Pseudomonadati; Myxococcota; Myxococcia; Myxococcales
Description: contains 16S-23S intergenic spacer region
Rfam family: Bacterial small subunit ribosomal RNA
Source: RNAcentral